AUGUUUAACAGGGAGGCACUGUGAUCACUGAGGAAGGAGAGGUAUGGUGAGGCUCAUGCCUUACAGUCUGCAUGUACUAACCUCUAUGCUUCAUGAACUACGAGUAACACAACUGCAUAACUUGUAGUAGUGGAGGACUGCUUUUGUGUUCUCCCUUG
This is a small nuclear RNA of Lagopus leucura (white-tailed ptarmigan), 158 nucleotides long. RefSeq annotates it as U1 spliceosomal RNA. NCBI's taxonomy places the organism in Eukaryota, Metazoa, Chordata, Aves, Galliformes, Phasianidae. The record is from RefSeq and is a predicted model, not a curated record. The transcript has a single exon.